AUGGAAAUUCCUUGUGUAACUUCGGGCACUCAGAAGUGGAAUGGGGCUAGUCCUAGUUUUAUUGCUAGAGCGGUUGUUAUUAUGAUUGAUGCUAUGGGAUUAAGGUCUUUUAGUACAGUCCAUUGUCCCGAGUGCAGUAGAUUGAUAAUGAUUCCUAUUAUUAGGAUUAUGGAGGCGGUUGCUUGUGUUAAGAAAUAUUUUGUGGCUGCUUCUAUGGCUCGUGGGUUGUAUUUUUUCAUGAGGAUGGGGAUGAUGGCUAAUAGGUUCAUUUCAAAGCCAAUUCAGACUAGAAGUCAGUGGGAGGUUGUCACUACAAUUAUAGUUCCUGAGAUAACGGUUAAUAUAAUAAUAAUAAAGAUGGGGGGUUUGAUUAGUAUGGCUAGUGUGAAGGAUCCGUUUAUUAGUAGUACUGAUAGGAGAAUGAUGGCUAGUGUGAAGGAUCCGUUUAUUAGUAGUACUGAUAGGAGAAUGAUGGCUAGUGUGAAGGAUCCGUUUAUUAGUAGUACUGAUAGGAGAAUGAUGGCUAGUGUGAAGGAUCCGUUUAUUAGUAGUACUGAUAGGAGAAUGAUGGCUAGUGUGAAGGAUCCGUUUAUUAGUAGUACUGAUAGGAGAAUGAUGGCUAGUGUGAAGGAUCCGUUUAUUAGUAGUACUGAUAGGAGAAUGAUGGCUAGUGUGAAGGAUCCGUUUAUUAGUAGUACUGAUAGGAGAAUGAUGGCUAGUGUGAAGGAUCCGUUUAUUAGUAGUACUGAUAGGAGAAUGAUGGCUAGUGUGAAGGAUCCGUUUAUUAGUAGUACUGAUAGGAGAAUGAUGGCUAGUGUGAAGGAUCCGUUUAUUAGUAGUACUGAUAGGAGAAUGAUGGCUAGUGUGAAGGAUCCGUUUAUUAGUAGUACUGAUAGGAGAAUGAUGGCUAGUGUGAAGGAUCCGUUUAUUAGUAGUACUGAUAGGAGAAUGAUGGCUAGUGUGAAGGAUCCGUUUAUUAGUAGUACUGAUAGGAGACUAUCUUGUAUAUGCCACCUUUUCAACCUGAGAUUACAAAUUGUAUCAGGUAGCAUACUUAGUAAGGAAGAGAUAGAAGAUUCACUUCCAUCCCACUGGUUUAAAUUGGCUCACAAUGUCAUGCACAAAGGCAGAAUGGGUGUCAGGGCUAGCUUAACUCAGUGA
Molecule: long non-coding RNA, 1161 nt
Filed under: Felis catus (domestic cat)
Lineage: Eukaryota; Metazoa; Chordata; Mammalia; Carnivora; Felidae
Description: lncRNA (ENSFCAG00000047479.1)
Source: RNAcentral